UUAAAUUGAAGAGUUUGAUCAUGGCUCAGAUUGAACGCUGGCGGCAGGCCUAACACAUGCAAGUCGAGCGGUAGCACAGAGAGCUUGCUCUCGGGUGACGAGCGGCGGACGGGUGAGUAAUGUCUGGGAAACUGCCUGAUGGAGGGGGAUAACUACUGGAAACGGU
This 166-nucleotide ribosomal RNA is filed under the name Klebsiella quasipneumoniae. RNAcentral's name for it is "16S rRNA. Bacterial SSU". It matches the Rfam family "Bacterial small subunit ribosomal RNA", at positions 1 to 160 of the family's 1533-position model. Lineage: Bacteria; Pseudomonadati; Pseudomonadota; Gammaproteobacteria; Enterobacterales; Enterobacteriaceae. The record is from RNAcentral.